This 259-nucleotide ribosomal RNA is filed under the name uncultured bacterium. RNAcentral's name for it is "partial 16S ribosomal RNA". It matches the Rfam family "Bacterial small subunit ribosomal RNA", at positions 793 to 1055 of the family's 1533-position model. The record is from RNAcentral.
GUCCACGCCCUAAACGAUGUCUACUAGUUGUCGGGUCUUAAUUGACUUGGUAACGCAGCUAACGCGUGAAGUAGACCGCCUGGGAGUACGGUCGCAAGAUUAAACUCAAAGGAAUUGACGGGACCCGCACAAGCGGUGGAUGAUGUGGAUUAAUUCGAUGCAACGCGAAACCUUACCUACCCUUGACAUGGACGGAAUCCCGGAGAGAUCUGGGAGUGCUCGAAAGAGAGCCGUUACACAGGUGCUGCAUGGCUGUCGU